RNAcentral lists this long non-coding RNA (660 nucleotides) under Populus trichocarpa (black cottonwood). Its description in RNAcentral is "long non-coding RNA (PTRI_LNC003611)". Lineage: Eukaryota; Viridiplantae; Streptophyta; Magnoliopsida; Malpighiales; Salicaceae. The record is from RNAcentral.
UCCGAUAAUGUUGCAUCUGUUAAAAGUUGUGAAAGUUUCCCAAUUUCUCCUAGCAAUGAUGAUAUGGUGGCAGAACUAGCUGUCGGAAUUAAUGAUUCUCUAUCAGUGGAAGAUACAAAGCUAUGUGAUAUUGCGAGAACAGAGACGGAGGUUGAUAGCUUACAUGCUGAUGAUAGUGGAAUUACUGAAGUUGAUGCAAAAGUAGAAGCUGGAGAUGAUAAUUGCCCUGCUUAUGAUGUGAAGCCAGAUAUUGGGACUGUUUCCCCUUCCAUUGAACCAGAAGAGAAAGUAUCUUCAAGCAGCCCUGCUAAUGAUGUGAAGCCAGAUAUUGGGACUGUUUCCCAUUCCAUUGAACCUGAAGAGAAAGUAUCUUCAAGCAGCCCUGCUAAUGAUGUGAAGCCAGAUAUUGGGACUGUUUCCCCUUCCAUUGGAUCUGAAGAGAAAUUAUCUUCAAGCAACCCUGCUAAUGAUGUGAAGCCAGAUAUUGGGACUGUUUCCCCUUCCAUUGGACCUGAAGAGAAAGUAUCUUUAAGCAGCCCUGCUAAUGAUGUGGAGCCAGAUAUUGGGACUGUUUCUCAUUCCAUUCAACCUGAAGAGAAAAUAGAUAUUGUUGCUGCUGAGGUGGGGAAAGGAGCUUUGAAAGUAGAUGUUGCUGAGGUG